This 253-nucleotide ribosomal RNA is filed under the name uncultured bacterium. Its description in RNAcentral is "partial 16S ribosomal RNA". It matches the Rfam family "Bacterial small subunit ribosomal RNA", at positions 524 to 776 of the family's 1533-position model. The record is from RNAcentral.
UACGUAGGGUGCGAGCGUUGUCCGGAAUUAUUGGGCGUAAAGGGCUCGUAGGCGGUUUGUCGCGUCGGGAGGGAAAACACGGGGCUUAACCCCGUGCCUGCUUCCGAUACGGGCAGACUAGAGGUAUGCAGGGGAGAACGGAAUUCCUGGUGUAGCGGUGAAAUGCGCAGAUAUCAGGAGGAACACCGGUGGCGAAGGCGGGUCUCUGGGCCGUAACUGACGCUGAGGAGCGAAAGCAUGGGGAGCGAACAGG